GAGGCAUGAUGAUGAAAAUCUUUACAUAUUUUCUGAUAUUUAAUGAUUGAAAUAAAUCCUCCUACUCAUUCUGA
This 74-nucleotide small nucleolar RNA is filed under the name Nelumbo nucifera (sacred lotus). Its description in RNAcentral is "Small nucleolar RNA Z105". It matches the Rfam family "Small nucleolar RNA Z105". Rfam says of the family: This family consists of several snoRNA Z105 sequences which are members of the C/D class of snoRNA which contain the C (UGAUGA) and D (CUGA) box motifs. This family seems to be found exclusively in plants. The record is from Rfam by way of RNAcentral. Lineage: Eukaryota; Viridiplantae; Streptophyta; Magnoliopsida; Proteales; Nelumbonaceae.